Molecule: ribosomal RNA, 309 nt
Filed under: uncultured bacterium
Lineage: Bacteria
Description: partial 16S ribosomal RNA
Rfam family: Bacterial small subunit ribosomal RNA
Source: RNAcentral
AGAGACAGCAGUAGCCGCGGUAAUACAAAGGGUGCAAGCGUUAAUCGGAAUUAUUGGGCGUAAAGGGCGCGUAGGCGGUUUGACAAGUCUGAUGUGAAAUCUCUGGGCUCAACCCAGAGUCUGCAUCGGAAACUGUCGAGCUUGAGUAUGGGAGAGGUGAGUGGAAUUUCCGGUGUAGCGGUGAAAUGCGUAGAUAUCGGAAGGAACACCUGUGGCGAAAGCGGCUCACUGGACCAUUACUGACGCUGAGGCGCGAAAGCUAGGGGAGCAAACAGGAUUAGAUACCCGUGUAGUCCCUGUCUCUUUACA